Molecule: long non-coding RNA, 8345 nt
Organism: Aethalodelphis obliquidens (Pacific white-sided dolphin)
Lineage: Eukaryota; Metazoa; Chordata; Mammalia; Artiodactyla; Delphinidae
Exons: 2
Source: RefSeq, a predicted model, not a curated record
CCGUGUUUCCUGCAUUGGCAGGCGGAUUCUUAACCAUUGCGCCACCAGGGAAGCCCUUGUAGGUGCCAUUCUUAUGUCACUUUUACGUAUUAGGAAACUAAGGCAGAGGAUCCUUUCCUAAAGCAAAAAAAUAAACAGACAUCAUCCCCAUCUAUGAGGUCUCAUGAUACAGGUUUCCUAGACCAGAUUUGCUUAAAUCAGAAUAUGUUUGAGUGCUAUUUCUUUUAUUUAACUCAAAAUGUAAUUAUCAACUUUAACUGUUUCCAAGUCUAAAUAGUGAAGAGCAGAGAAAAAUUAAGUAAAGUACCUAUUGAGUUAAGACCAACACAACAAUGUCUUUGGAAGGGAAUUCUCUCUCUUUUUUUAAAAAUGAAUUAUACCAUUGGGUUAUUUGCCUAUGUUUUAGUAUUAAGAUGACCUUACUGUGACACAUACAAGUGUUUUGAUUGUUUUGCUCCUGGAGAGUCAGGACUCCUGGGUGCCAGCCCUGGUUCUGUCACUGUCUGUGCCAUAUCAGGUAGGUCACUUCAUCUUUCAGAAAACUGAAUCUCAGUUUUCUCAAUUGUGAAAGAUUAACCCUACGAUCCCAACAUUCCCAGAGGUUUAUAAUGACCACAGGGUAGAUCCAAGCAGCAGUUUACAAACUCAUCAUGAAGAUGAUGAGGAGAAAACUACCCAUCUUUAAUGCACAGUCAUCAACCUUCAAAACUCAGCAUUGCAUUUCGACCUGUCUGAAGGGAGAAGAGUAUAAUUGGACUGCAGAGAGGAAAAAGCCUGUAUGAAAGCUUAAUAAUAAUAAUAACCAAAAAAAAAAAAAAAAGGCAGUCUUGAGGCAUCACGACACUAAAAGCUCAUUAAGAUCUCUGUCCCAGCUAUUACACUACUAAUUGAACAGUUACCCAAAUAGAUGUACAAUCCAAUAAUGACUCAAAUUAAGGCUUCAACCUCAGAAUCUAGUAAAAACUUGUACAGUUCCUGCUCCCCCUUUAAAAAGCUGUUCUGGGCAAGCUUUGGGAAGAGAAACUGUCCUAUUGUGACUUCACUAAAGUAACAUGAAAACUCAUACAAGUCGCUCUUUUUGUUUCUUUUCCUACUGCAAAACACACCUCUCACUGUCUACUUCAUUCCUUUCAGUGCCUUUUGUUUCUUUGGUGGAAGAGGAUGCAGUUUGCCCACUCCAGUGGUGCCUGCCAUUAUCGCGUUCAGCAUUUUUCUACAGUGCCCUCUUCCAGCAGUGCCUUGGUCUGCAAGACUGGGGGUCUGAGAGAGUCCUGUCUUGCCCUCUGAAGCAAAGCUCUCUCCCUAUUGGAUAAUUGGUUUCUUGCCUAUCUAUUGGUUUUGCUUUCUCUUGCGGGGUUGUCCUUGCCAAUAUACACAUCUCAGCUAAGAAUUUUAACAGGUAAACAGUUUUGAGUUUCUCUCUACUUUUCCCUCUUCCCUCUUGUCCUGACCUUUACAGGGAAGAGGGAUGCCAGGACCCAUAGGAGGGAACCUUGGGAGGAGUAAAAAUCAAGGGAUGCCUUUGAAUAAGGGAGAGUGUACAGACUUAGAAAAUCCUCAAAGAGGUUUAAGAUUUGUACAUAGAAGAUAUUCACAAAAUGCUCAUUUCCUGUCUCUCUGGGCUGGUCACCUUUGAUGUUAAUGGAAGUUGGAGUAGUCAUCAGCUGGACCCAAGAUGAAAUCUAGAGUGACAAUAAUUUAGUUGACCACCUCCAUGAAUUGUUUCCCUUCCUUCCUAAAACUAAGGGAUGGUUUUGAGGUCAGCUUCGUAUACCUGUUGAGGAGAGCCCAGAGACCUAGAAUUCCUUUAGAUCCUUCUGUCCUCUUCAGUCUGAGCAGUGUGGCCUUCUGCACACUUUCCUUGAUCUAAGGGCCACUUAGAUCAAGGAAAGUCUAAUACACCAGGAUACUUACUGUCAAAUUACGUAAAGAGGAAGGCAGUUUAGAGAGAUGCUUCAUUCCUUGGAAUUUCAAAAAAAGGAUUUCUAACACUUUUAAAGUGAGGAAUAGCUGCCUUUUGCUUGCCUCCCAACUCCCAGCACGGAAUAAGACAGUUCACAUGUCAACCCUGCACAUACUAGCCAUGUCACAUUAUAGCAAGCCACCAACUACCCAGGGUGACUCUGAGGGCCCGAUGAGUAAACACUUAGGAAAGUGCUCUUAACUAGAAAGGUGGCUUACCAGUGUAGGUGGUUGAGUCUACAAGCGUACCCAGCUCCUCUACUGGGAAUUGAUUUACAGAAAUUAAGAGGGAAGCACAUUUUUCUGAGCUGUGUGAUUGGCAUUAUUAAACUACCUCUGUUAUAGAUGGUUGACCUCUUUAUCAACUCUGAUAUGCAUGUGAUUUCCUCACGAAUUUUCAGUUCCAGUAAGGACAUAGCAGUGGAAUGGUGUCCUUGGGAUCUGGUUUUAUUGUUGGCAUCCUCAGUUGCAACCAACAGGUCUUUUUUCAGGGACUGAAGCUGGAGCAUAAUUGUUAAGGAUAUCGCUGAGGACCAUGUUCAUCAUGUGCCCAGUAAAUAUACAUUGAAUUAAUAGCUUUGAUAUCUGCACCAGAUAUUUUAGAAUUUUGUACUUCGAUAAUACUUAGUAGUACGUCACAGUUUGGGGAAUUGAGGAGAUAAAGCUGAAGACUCUGGCUUUACUUUUUGGAUUUCAACAAUAUCUCCACAUCUCGUAGGGCCAUAGCUGUGGGUUGCUGUGUCUUGAACCAUAGAUGGGCUGUCGUCUUCUGGGGCAGAAGGCACUGCUUAGGUUGUUGCUUCCUUAACAUUCUGGCAAACACUUCCACUAUUUUUAAGGCACAGUAUAGUUCAUGCCUGUUUGUGCUGGACUUCGGGUCGAAUGGCCUCUAUUUACCUCUGGAUGGUUUGACUGAAAGCCUUUAUUAUUGAAACCUUGAGGUUUGGCACAUUCUCAAAGGUGUCAAGUUUCUCUUGCGACUUUUGACCUUUGAUGCUACAACUAGAUUUUCCAUUGAUGAGCAAAUGAUGCGUCUGCUGUUAGAGAAAUGACUAUACUCUCUUGGAUUGGGUUAUAUGGCAAACUCUAACCGGUGAUCAGCACAUUUAGAAUGGUUUGAGAACACAGAUUUGGUUUCAGUCCCCAGCUAAAGGUUUGGAUGAUAAUCUGAAUUGGACUCGUCAGAUCUCGAUCUGGACCAUUGAAUUUGCAACACAAAGCUCAAAACCUCGAGAGGGAAGACUCUUGACAUUUCUGUUCAUGCCAGCUUCCCAUCAGGAAGUUCAGCGAAAUGUCCUCAGGCCUUUUGGCACAUCUGGUUCUGUUCCAGGUCCAGGUUGUGGUUUCUUUGAAAGUAGUAGGUGUAGGUGGUAGGUACCUGGUACAUGGAAACUGGCCACCAAAUUGCAGAGUUAAUGUUUCGGAACCACUGCAGGCCUAGGAGAGAGGGCUAAAGGAUUUGCAUUCCCUUAACCCUUUGUUGUGUCCUCUUGGAAGAGAGAGAACUUCAUCAGGAAUGAUUGGUUGCUUCAGGUGAAUUACAGAAACACUGAUCAAAUGUUCCCCACCCCAUCCCGUACAGUGUCUUAAACUUGAACGUGGCUGCGUAUUACCUGGGUAUCUUGUGAAAUGGAAGAUUCACAUUUAGUAGGUCUGGGCGGAGCCUGAGAUGACACGUCUCACAAGCUCCAGGUAAUGUUGAUUCUGCUGGACCAUAAACUGUGAAUAUUUUUGAGAAGCAAAGCCCCAUUUUCAAAGCACUGUGCCAAGUGUAGGGAAUACAAAUGUGAAUAGAAGCGGAAGAGAAGGCUGUUACCUUUAGGCAACCACCUGGUGGCCGGGAGACAGCCAGGUAAAUGGUAUUCAUUCCACAAGUACUCAGGGCAGAGACUGAGCUGAAUGGAGCCUACUGGGCUCUGAACUGGGCCUUAGAGGUGAAUAGGAGGAGACCAGGUAGGGAAGCCAGAAAAGAAUAUCUUAGGCAGAAAUAAGAACCUGGGCAAGAAGAGAAAUCAAAUACAAGCUUGUCGUCUUUCUGCAGAGGAGACCUCUAAAAUAGUGCCCAGCUCAUUCCCAGGCCUGGGCGGGGGGUGAGAGGGGGGAUGAAGCCUAUGAAAGCACAGAACCUUCCUGUGGCAAGUAGACAGUCGCUCACAUCCAAGGGCACCAGGCCGUCCUUCUGCUGUGCAAUAUAAUUAGAGCAUUUGAGGCAUGCAGUCGAGAGAAGCACCAAGCGGAGGGGAUUGUGAGCCAGCCGAAGCUGUGAAAAAGUCCAGCAAUCCCAUUCUCAGCACUAUUUGCAACCUUGCUGUUAUUUCUUGUGGAUUGACCAAACGGAUGUUUUGCUUUAUGCUUUUUUUUUUUUUUGGUGUAUUUUCUUCCUCCUUUCCUCCCUCCUCCCACCCCCGCUUCCUCCCCUCCCCCCACCCCGCCCGCUUCCUCCCUUUCUCCCUCCCUCCUCCCUUCCUUAUCUGAAAACUCAGAGUGAAACUCAGGCAGAGUGCACCACUUCCCCAGGGUUUUUCCUCUCCAUCCUGCUGCCCACCUCUGCUUCACUCCAAUCCCACCAUCCCCUGGAAUUCCACCCAGAAAUGAGAACAGUUUACAUUGCACAUACUUGCAGGUCUCUUCUCACAUUUGAGCUCCACACCGUCCCAUCAAACUCUGAUCUGAUAGGGGGAGUCCAAGCAUUGCAAUCCAACAGGUACUCAAAAAAAUCUCACGUGGUCUUUCUCUUUUACUGCGUAUAUCUGGCCUUGCCUGCCCACUAACCAGUAGGGUGGCCCAGAACAUACCUUGCCAUACUGUAGCAGCAACAAUUUGCUUAGAAACUUACACAGCUCUCAUUUUGAAGCCUUGCACUGGCAAGUAAUUAGGGCAGGAACCAGCAUUCUUAUCCGCAUUUAACAGGUGGAAAAACUGAGGCCCAGGAAGCCACAGCUCCUAAGUGGUGGUCCAAGGAUAUGAAUACAGUGUUCUGACCUUCUGUCAUACACGAUCCGGCCCUGCAGUAAUCUUUAGUCCACCCUCACAACAAUCCAGGUUUCAAAGAGACUGAGAGAGGCUAAAGAACUUCCUGAGGUCAGUGAAUUCCAAACUUAGGAUGCAAACCCCACACUUUCUGAUCUCAGAGUCCCCACUUUUACCCUGAGGCCAUAGAGCUUCUUAUAUCAUUCUGCAGUCCAUUGCAGUCCAUUCCGCCUUCACUUCACUUCUCUCUGUGAAAUGGAGAUGCUGUCUGUGAUCUGUAAGACCUCUUCCCAGCUGUAAAAGGCUGUGAUCAUGUCAUUUCGGCUUGGAAACCAGAGUUCUUCGCUGCCAGCUUCUAUUCAGUGCUAAUCAUGUUGCUUAAUUAUGUUUAACUCGGAGUGUGUUUCACCGCAGCUGUCAACACACUUCAGUUUGUCGCGCUGAUGAAGUCGAUAGCUGCAUGAUAGCACCUGUGUGCCAUUUUGCAGGGUGUAUUCAGCAGCCAGGCAGACCUUCUCCUUGGCUACAUGCUACCAUGUUCUGUCUUGAUGCCAGCUUAGUUCCUCUGUUUACACUGGACAGAAACGGCCAUACCUUCAGCUACAAAUACCCAGAAAGCAACAUCGGUAACUUUUGGCCGAGUGAAAACCACUGGUUGUAUUCCAGACUCUGGCAGGUUGUGUCGAUGGGGUGCUCAAGGUGAAGAGAGCAAAGACUCAUAUAUGACACAUUACUUCCAUGUUGAGGGCACAAGCAAAGAGAAUUUCAGUCUCGGGCUUCUCCAUGGUAAGUCCAACUCCUGGGUUGCUCCCCCUGUGAUUGAAAUCUCUGCCCAUUGUUUCCCUUCAAGCUUCAGGGGGGUGCCACCUUAUCUAGAAAGCUCUCCCCCAACAUGUUCUGUCUAUGCUCACACUUCGCCUGUAUGUCCCUGAAUUUCCAUGAAUCAUAGCCCUUGCCCCACUGUAAUGAAAAUGUCUUUCAUUAUUUUUCUGGCUGAGGGCAGCAGCCAUAUGUCAUUUACCCCUGGAUGUAUUCCCACUAAAUGUUUGUUGAAUGAAGAGUGAAUGAAUGAAUGAAUGAAGCCAUCACUUUCUCAGUGUUCAGAUUAGGAAUAAGAGUUUCCUUUGUCUUUCUGAUGUUCUUCCAUUAUUCCUCCUCUUUCCUCUUCUGGCACAUUUGCUCAAAGUUUAUCCAAUCAUUUGAUCUCUGCUCUGAGCCUUCUUCCAAGCUCCUCUACAGACAGAAUAGCAUCCCUUUUCCCUCUUGUUUUCUUACCCUGUACACUCCUCUGAUGGGCCAGGCUCUCUGUCCUCCACCUCUGAAAUGAUACCUCAAACUUUGCCAAUUCGCUGUGUUCUGUGGCCAGAAAAGGGACAGCACUUUCUCUGUUACCCUAUUUGAAAUAAACAUGCAAUUUCCAGGACUAGUCUGUCUUCACACUUUACAGGAUACUCUGUUCUUUCCCCUCGAUCCAGACAAAAUGUAAAAUUCUAUACAUAUGUAUUUUCCAAGUUGUAAAAUUACCAAUUCAUUUGCAUCACUGACUUUUCCAAAAUCUGUCUUUUUCAAUUAAUAUUUAGGUAUUAUCUAGGGACCUUUCUGGUUCUAAAACAAAAAUUUUAAAGUCAGUAACUCUGCAGAUCAGGGAUGGCUCUCCAUUCAGGGGAUCUGCUACCAGACCUUCUACCUUAAUAGGUGACUUGUUGGUCGAAGGGAGACUUGGUCAGUGUGAAUACAUAGGGUGUUAUUGCCAGGGAGAGAGUUGGGAGGGAAAUAAGAUAUUGAGUAGUGAGAGGCCUCUGGGGGGGGGGUCUUCCUCCUUAAUAUACAAAACCUACCGUGUCACUUAAUUGUGGCCUCAAGGGUGCCAGGAAGGGAGUCUUACCCGAGCUUUUCUCAUCAUCUCCCAUAAUUUACUUCUCCACCUGAUGGGUUUCCUGGGUUGGUGAUGAUGACCUUCAGACCUUUUAAGGGCUGUGGUUGGUGAGGAGGAAUCAUGCAGCCAUAUUUACCUUCAGUGGGUUUAAGGAUCUCUUGAUAUUGCUAAAAGUUUAAGAUUCCCAGGCCCUUCAUCAGGAUUCCUGAUUCAAUAUGCAUGGAAUCAGCCCAGAAAUCUGCAUUUUAGUUAUUUGCAGUUCAGAUUUAAUACAGGAAGAAGUUUUUUUAAUAACCAAACCUUGCAGAAGAAUGAGCGAUAAAAUGUAAGACACCACACGUUUGUCCUCCAAAACUGGAAUUACAGUCUACCUGCAUGACGGGAGAACCAUGGCAGCGUAAACUCAAACGUAACUCUGAAAUUCAAAAAAAAAAAAAAAAAACCCAAACAUAACUCUGCAUCAGUUUCUGCUGGUGCCCUCCUUCAUAAUUAUAUCACUAAAUCUGACCAGUUCCACCGGGUGGAAUUCUACCGCGCUGAUUCUUAACUUUUAGGGGACAGGUUAGAGCAGAGUGGCAAAGACCCGUUGGAAAAUCUGGUGAAGGCACAAACAUCUUAUGCCCUAAGUAUGGAUUCCUUUGGCAAGGGGGAUGGGAAAGAUAAGGAAUCCAUAUAUGUCAAGUGAAAAAAUCUUGCCCCUGACGAGCAUUGCUUCUCUCCUCAGUACGGUUCCCUGUAGCUAUAGACAGAAGAAGCGCCGAGGAAUGAAUCAGAAGUUAUGCAGGCGCGUAGACAGUCUGUCACGUGGUUUCCACGUUACCAUAAAAGUCGAUUGUAAAUUUUCGCAGUCCUGCUAGGCUGUGUUUCUCUCACUCUCGUUUGCACCAUGAAAGGCUGGGAGACAUCUCAUUCCUUUGAUAGCCAGUGCUCCAGGAAACUUGAAAGAACAGAUUUCUCCCAUGUCUUACCAAUGAGUUACAUGCAGGCUAAUAAAGCAGCUAGUGCCAGCAGCAUCGUCAGUGUGGUCAGUCACACAGACGAAUGUGAUCUUAAGCUCUGCCCCAGAUCCUGAGCCCGAGUCAGCUACUUUUGGAUUACUAUGCUAUGCUCAAAACUUCUACAAGCGUCUUUUCCAGAUGUAUUUACCGGGGUCAAGUUCAGAACUUUAGAAAGAAAAUCCUGGUUGCUAUGUUGGGUGAUUCUCUAUGUUUGGGAGUGUCACUGAUACUACAAUUGAUUUCCUUCAGUUCACUCAGCAAAUACAGUGUUGGCACAUGCUGGACCCUGGGGAGACCUCAUGGGAAAUGUGGUAGAGCCCUGGCCCUCAGGGGGAGGAGACAUUAUCAGAAACCACUUCCCCCUUCUUCAGAACCGUCCAGUGAUGCAGAAGAAAAGUUCUCGAACUUCUAUCUGGUUGGCACAGUGAUCUUGUUGACAAAGGUUGGAGAGAGGAAAACUUGUGAGGAAGAAAAAUCGCACACACAGAGCCUUCAACCAAAGUCACUGAAUUGUCCUCAAUAAAGGAAAGCUUGCAGAA